RNAcentral lists this ribosomal RNA (484 nucleotides) under uncultured bacterium. RNAcentral's name for it is "partial 16S ribosomal RNA". It matches the Rfam family "Bacterial small subunit ribosomal RNA", at positions 30 to 507 of the family's 1533-position model. The record is from RNAcentral.
AUUGAACGCUGGCGGCAGGCCUAACACAUGCAAGUCGAGCGGAUGAAGGGAGCUUGCUCCUGGAUUCAGCGGCGGACGGGUGAGUAAUGCCUAGGAAUCUGCCUGGUAGUGGGGGAUAACGUCCGGAAACGGGCGCUAAUACCGCAUACAUCCUGAGGGAGAAAGUGGGGGAUCUUCGGACCUCACGCUAUCAGAUGAGCCUAGGUCGGAUUAGCUAGGUGGUGGGGUAAAGGCCUACCAAGGCGACGAUCCGUAACUGGUCUGAGAGGAUGAUCAGUCACACUGGAACUGAGACACGGUCCAGACUCCUACGGGAGGCAGCAGUGGGGAAUAUUGGACGAUGGGCGAAAGCCUGAUCCAGCCAUGCCGCGUGUGUGAAGAAGGUCUUCGGAUUGUAAAGCACUUUAAGUUGGGAGGAAGGGCAGUAAGUUAAUACCUUGCUGUUUUGACGUUACCAACAGAAUAAGCACCGGCUAACUUCGUG